This 472-nucleotide ribosomal RNA is filed under the name uncultured bacterium. Its description in RNAcentral is "bacterial SSU rRNA". It matches the Rfam family "Bacterial small subunit ribosomal RNA", at positions 55 to 527 of the family's 1533-position model. The record is from RNAcentral.
AUGCAGUCGAGCGAGAAGCACUUCGGUGCGAGUACAGCGGCGGACGGGUGAGUACCGCGUAGGAAUCUACCUGGUAGUGGGGGACAACAUGGUGAAAACCAUGCUAAUACCGCAUACGCCCUAAGGGGGAAAGCGGGGGAUCUUCGGACCUCGCGCUAUUGGAUGAGCCUGCGUAAGAUUAGCUAGUUGGUGGGGUAAAAGCUCACCAAGGCGACGAUCUUUAGCUGGUCUGAGAGGAUGAUCAGCCACACUGGAACUGAGACACGGUCCAGACUCCUACGGGAGGCAGCAGUGGGGAAUAUUGCGCAAUGGGCGAAAGCCUGACGCAGCCAUGCCGCGUGUGUGAAGAAGGCCUUAGGGUUGUAAAGCACUUUCAAUUGGGAAGAAAGGUUGUCCGUUAAUAGCGUGCAGCUGUGACAUUACCUUUAGAAGAAGCACCGGCUAACUCCGUGCCAGCAGCCGCGGUAAUACG